This 427-nucleotide ribosomal RNA is filed under the name uncultured soil bacterium. RNAcentral describes it as "bacterial SSU rRNA". It matches the Rfam family "Bacterial small subunit ribosomal RNA", at positions 26 to 488 of the family's 1533-position model. The record is from RNAcentral.
AGAACGAACGCUGGCGGCAUGCCUAAUACAUGCAAGUCGAACGAACUCUUCGGAGUUAGUGGCGCACGGGUGCGUAACGCGUGGGAAUCUGCCCCUUGGUUCGGAAUAACAGUUGGAAACGACUGCUAAUACCGGAUGAUGACGAAAGUCCAAAGAUUUAUCGCCAAGGGAUGAGCCCGCGUAGGAUUAGCUAGUUGGUGAGGUAAAGGCUCACCAAGGCAACGAUCCUUAGCUGUCUGAGAGGAUGAUCAGCCACACUGGGACCGAGACACGGCCCAGACUCCUAGGAGCAGCAGUAGGGAAUAUGGACAAUGGGCGAAAGCCUGAUCCAGCAAUGCCGCGUGAGUGAUAGAAGGUACCGUUAGGGUUAGUAAAAGGCUCCUUUUACCCCGAGAGUGAAUAAAUGAACGUAGUAAUCGGGAAGAAA